RNAcentral lists this ribosomal RNA (1941 nucleotides) under Staphylococcus aureus. RNAcentral describes it as "partial 23S ribosomal RNA". It matches the Rfam family "Bacterial large subunit ribosomal RNA", at positions 296 to 2241 of the family's 2925-position model. Lineage: Bacteria; Bacillati; Bacillota; Bacilli; Caryophanales; Staphylococcaceae. The record is from RNAcentral.
AGGACACUCUAUACGGAGUUACAAAGGACGACAUUAGACGAAUCAUCUGGAAAGAUGAAUCAAAGAAGGUAAUAAUCCUGUAGUCGAAAAUGUUGUCUCUCUUGAGUGGAUCCUGAGUACGACGGAGCACGUGAAAUUCCGUCGGAAUCUGGGAGGACCAUCUCCUAAGGCUAAAUACUCUCUAGUGACCGAUAGUGAACCAGUACCGUGAGGGAAAGGUGAAAAGCACCCCGGAAGGGGAGUGAAAUAGAACCUGAAACCGUGUGCUUACAAGUAGUCAGAGCCCGUUAAUGGGUGAUGGCGUGCCUUUUGUAGAAUGAACCGGCGAGUUACGAUUUGAUGCAAGGUUAAGCAGUAAAUGUGGAGCCGUAGCGAAAGCGAGUCUGAAUAGGGCGUUUAGUAUUUGGUCGUAGACCCGAAACCAGGUGAUCUACCCUUGGUCAGGUUGAAGUUCAGGUAACACUGAAUGGAGGACCGAACCGACUUACGUUGAAAAGUGAGCGGAUGAACUGAGGGUAGCGGAGAAAUUCCAAUCGAACCUGGAGAUAGCUGGUUCUCUCCGAAAUAGCUUUAGGGCUAGCCUCAAGUGAUGAUUAUUGGAGGUAGAGCACUGUUUGGACGAGGGGCCCCUCUCGGGUUACCGAAUUCAGACAAACUCCGAAUGCCAAUUAAUUUAACUUGGGAGUCAGAACAUGGGUGAUAAGGUCCGUGUUCGAAAGGGAAACAGCCCAGACCACCAGCUAAGGUCCCAAAAUAUAUGUUAAGUGGAAAAGGAUGUGGCGUUGCCCAGACAACUAGGAUGUUGGCUUAGAAGCAGCCAUCAUUUAAAGAGUGCGUAAUAGCUCACUAGUCGAGUGACACUGCGCCGAAAAUGUACCGGGGCUAAACAUAUUACCGAAGCUGUGGAUUGUCCUUUGGACAAUGGUAGGAGAGCGUUCUAAGGGCGUUGAAGCAUGAUCGUAAGGACAUGUGGAGCGCUUAGAAGUGAGAAUGCCGGUGUGAGUAGCGAAAGACGGGUGAGAAUCCCGUCCACCGAUUGACUAAGGUUUCCAGAGGAAGGCUCGUCCGCUCUGGGUUAGUCGGGUCCUAAGCUGAGGCCGACAGGCGUAGGCGAUGGAUAACAGGUUGAUAUUCCUGUACCACCUAUAAUCGUUUUAAUCGAUGGGGGGACGCAGUAGGAUAGGCGAAGCGUGCGAUUGGAUUGCACGUCUAAGCAGUAAGGCUGAGUAUUAGGCAAAUCCGGUACUCGUUAAGGCUGAGCUGUGAUGGGGAGAAGACAUUGUGUCUUCGAGUCGUUGAUUUCACACUGCCGAGAAAAGCCUCUAGAUAGAAAAUAGGUGCCCGUACCGCAAACCGACACAGGUAGUCAAGAUGAGAAUUCUAAGGUGAGCGAGCGAACUCUCGUUAAGGAACUCGGCAAAAUGACCCCGUAACUUCGGGAGAAGGGGUGCUCUUUAGGGUUAACGCCCAGAAGAGCCGCAGUGAAUAGGCCCAAGCGACUGUUUAUCAAAAACACAGGUCUCUGCUAAACCGUAAGGUGAUGUAUAGGGGCUGACGCCUGCCCGGUGCUGGAAGGUUAAGAGGAGUGGUUAGCUUCUGCGAAGCUACGAAUCGAAGCCCCAGUAAACGGCGGCCGUAACUAUAACGGUCCUAAGGUAGCGAAAUUCCUUGUCGGGUAAGUUCCGACCCGCACGAAAGGCGUAACGAUUUGGGCACUGUCUCAACGAGAGACUCGGUGAAAUCAUAGUACCUGUGAAGAUGCAGGUUACCCGCGACAGGACGGAAAGACCCCGUGGAGCUUUACUGUAGCCUGAUAUUGAAAUUCGGCACAGCUUGUACAGGAUAGGUAGGAGCCUUUGAAACGUGAGCGCUAGCUUACGUGGAGGCGCUGGUGGGAUACUACCCUAGCUGUGUUGGCUUUCUAACCCGCACCACUUAUCG